This 911-nucleotide ribosomal RNA is filed under the name Curvularia verruculosa. RNAcentral's name for it is "LSU rRNA". It matches the Rfam family "Eukaryotic large subunit ribosomal RNA", at positions 38 to 966 of the family's 3401-position model. The record is from RNAcentral. Lineage: Eukaryota; Fungi; Ascomycota; Dothideomycetes; Pleosporales; Pleosporaceae.
GCAUAUCAAUAAGCGGAGGGAAAAGAAACCAACAGGGAUUGCCCUAGUAACGGCGAGUGAAGCGGCAACAGCUCAAAUUUGAAAUCUGGCUCUUUUAGAGUCCGAGUUGUAAUUUGCAGAGGGCGCUUUGGCUUUGGCAGCGGUCCAAGUUCCUUGGAACAGGACGUCACAGAGGGUGAGAAUCCCGUACGUGGUCGCUAGCUAUUGCCGUGUAAAGCCCCUUCGACGAGUCGAGUUGUUUGGGAAUGCAGCUCUAAAUGGGAGGUAAAUUUCUUCUAAAGCUAAAUAUUGGCCAGAGACCGAUAGCGCACAAGUAGAGUGAUCGAAAGAUGAAAAGCACUUUGGAAAGAGAGUCAAACAGCACGUGAAAUUGUUGAAAGGGAAGCGCUUGCAGCCAGACUUGCUUGCAGUUGCUCAUCCGGGCUUUUGCCCGGUGCACUCUUCUGCAGGCAGGCCAGCAUCAGUUUGGGCGGUGGGAUAAAGGUCUCUGACACGUUCCUCUCUUCGGGGAGGCCAUAUAGGGGAGACGUCAUACCACCAGCCUGGACUGAGGUCCGCGCAUCUGCUAGGAUGCUGGCGUAAUGGCUGUAAGCGGCCCGUCUUGAAACACGGACCAAGGAGUCUAACAUCUAUGCGAGUGUUUGGGUGUCAAGCCCGAACGCGUAAUGAAAGUGAACGGAGGUGGGAACCCGCAAGGGCGCACCAUCGACCGAUCCUGAAGUUUACGGAAGGAUUUGAGUAAGAGCAUGGCUGUUGGGACCCGAAAGAUGGUGAACUAUGCUUGAAUAGGGUGAAGCCAGAGGAAACUCUGGUGGAGGCUCGCAGCGGUUCUGACGUGCAAAUCGAUCGUCAAAUUUGGGCAUAGGGGCGAAAGACUAAUCGAACUAUCUAGUAGCUGGUUCCUGCCGAAG